This 1436-nucleotide long non-coding RNA is filed under the name Panax ginseng (ginseng). RNAcentral describes it as "long non-coding RNA (PGIN_LNC001943)". The record is from RNAcentral. Lineage: Eukaryota; Viridiplantae; Streptophyta; Magnoliopsida; Apiales; Araliaceae.
GCCAAAAUACAUGGUAUAGAAAGCAAACUACAACUUUGAUAAUACAGAUGUCGUGUAGAAUACGACAAUACAACUGUGAGUUUAAAUACAAAUAUUGCCUUCUAGACAAUAUACACACCAAAAUAAGUCCUCAUUAAUUAUUCAUACACUAUUUUACAGAAAUAGUGAGGACAGCUAAAACAUCUUCCUAGAACCAUCACUCCAUACCCCGACUCGAUCCUGCUAUGUUCUCACCUCCUGAGAAGAAAAAUGGAACAAAAAGGAAAAAGGGUGAGCUCAACUAGCCCAGUAAAGAACAUUAUGACUAAGAUAAUAUACAACAAAUUAUCGUUAGUCUUCAACAGGGAAAAAUCUGAUAAAUUAUAAUAGACAACAAGUUUUAGAUCAAUAAAGGCAGCGGAACAACAAUCCAUUAGAAGAGUCACGUAGAGAAAGAAUUUUACUGUCUUCUAAGGUUUAAAAGUCCAUCAUCAAUAUUUUACCCCUGUAACAACAAUCAAUAUUCAUCUUUGCACUACAGGCCAAAGAUAUUCAUUUAAAUCACCAGUUGGUCAUGUUCAUCUCAACACCUGUUCAUCUUUGCACUACAGGCCAAAGAUAUUCAUCAGUUAAUCGUUCAUCUUUGCACUACAGGCCAAAGAUAUUCAUCAAGUAUCACCAUUAAGGACCGAGGAUGAUGAAAAAUAUUUUUAAGAACGAAUCCAGUGAGAUAGAAGGACAAAUAUUAGGGAUUCGUACAACAGUUUAUCCAAGAUCGAUAAUACUUCAUAAUAAACGAUUUUGAAGCAGAACUCAAAAAUAACGAUCAAAACAUGGAUACAAUCAAAGAUAGUAGCCAAAAUAGACAUCUUGGACAAAAAGAAAAAUUUUCAUUUUUCGGUGAAUAGUGCCGUAUUCGUGAAUAGUGCCGUAUACGUGAAUAGUGCCGUAUACGUGAAUAGUAACCCCGACACAAAAAGAUAGAAAUUUCACAAAAAACAUCUUCACGCUUCGUGAAUAGUACUCGUGAAUAGUAACUCGUGAAUAGUAACUCAUGAAUAGUAACUCGUGAAUAGUAACUCAUGAAUAGUAACCCCGACAUGAAAAAGUUCCAAAUUUGAUAAAAAGUUCAACAAAGAUUUUGGCAUAAUGAUAUUGAAGAAAAUAAUAUCAUUUGCGAAAGAAAUAACAUCCCUUACCUCAAAAUAACCGUACUUCUGACUGAAUUUCGGUAUAGUGCUGACAGAAACUCGCACCGUAUAGCAACACUCAAAAUAUACUCACAAGAAUACGUUCGACAAUAUAGAGAGAGAAAGAGAGAAAACUUAGUUUCUGGUGUGAUUUUCAAUUCUAACUUAACCCUCUAUUUAUAGGAAAAUGCUAGAACGCCAAAGGAGACUAAAAUAAUAAAAUAUUAUUUUUUAUUUAAACUUCCUACGCAUGCUUUGUUAGGCCAA